This is a long non-coding RNA of Gasterosteus aculeatus aculeatus (three-spined stickleback), 2023 nucleotides long. Lineage: Eukaryota; Metazoa; Chordata; Actinopteri; Perciformes; Gasterosteidae. The record is from Ensembl.
CGGGGCGCCCGCGGGUCACAUUUAGGGGCCCGUCUGGAGUCCUUUCAUGCUAAAUUGGAUGAAGGCAGAAGCACUGGAGCUGAGCGGAGUGGAGAUGUCACAGCGCUCUCCGGCCUGUGUGCGGAGGCCAGACGCUUCAGCUCCAAGAGGAGAGAAAGAUGAAUGAGUCCGGGUGCCGUGGAAUCCAGUGGCGGUGGAGAUAAGCUGUGUUACGUGUGGAAGAGGAACCUUUUUUCCCUCGACUCUGCUGCUGCGAUAGUGAGGAGCACCUGCACAUAGAUGAGAGGAGGGCGCCUCCCUGUAAGCAGGCAACAAAGCCAAUCUCCCACAGGACUCUUUCUGCGACGUCCCGCCUCUCUUUGGAGGUGUUGUACAGUCGCACAUCCGUCAGCAGAGGCCGUCCCAGUGUGUCUCGCAGCUCUGCACUGGUCCCAUGAAUAAAUCUGUGCCUUCCUGCGCCCUGAUGCCUCUGAGAAGCGACUUGCACGUCGUCUCACGCGGUAAUGACUCUCUUGUCAUUCAUUGUGCACACAGAAGAUCCCUCAGAGCGGUAAAACAUCUGCUCGGCGUCUGGAGUUUCCGCGGAGGAAAAAUCAGGGACAACCACCCUGCAGAGGACCACCACUGUGUCCCUAAAAGGCCGUGGUUUGAAGAUGUCCUGGCUAAAUGUGGGGAGAUUUACACAGCCGUUAAAAUGAUGAAGAGUUGAGAGCAAAGUGCACGAGGACAACAGGAAGAGUCGCUAGUUCAACAUGUUCCACCUCCAAGAUGGUCACAUGUGAGUAGUUUUGUGUUUGAAAUACAAUUAGACAACAGGGUCUAAAAUACACGCUUUCCAAAGUGAUUACACAUUAGUUGUAAGAUUUAGUCUUUAGAAAAAAUAAUCGAUUAAUCGCAAUUGAUGAAUGGGAAAAUCUGCGAUUAAUUUUUAUUUUGUUUAACGACAGCUCUAAUAUUUUUUCAAUAAUAAACAUCUUUCUAAAUGUCUAAACGGUAAUGAGGCACACACAUGUUGUAUCCGUACAGUCACUGACAACUCAAAAACAAAAGCUUUACAUUCAGUCUGAAAAUGAAAUGCUAGAAACGUGCGUUCAUUUGUAAUUUAAAAUGUGUAGGAAGCGUGUAACACAACGAAUGACUCAUUCCCUGUGUUCUGCUCCUUUUCAUCCACCCUGAAGGAUCUUAUUUGAGCGCUACCCAAACUAUAAAUACAGCUGAGCCACGCUUUGAGAGCUUUUGAAUUCAAAUGGUUCUUUUAGGGGAAAAACCAGCCGUGGAUUGACUUACAAGCUGACUUCCAAUGAGCUGGUUUGCAUGCAGCGGGAGGAGGCUGGUGCUCCCUUUUCAAUGACCCGCAAUGGCUGAGUGUGUUAGCUUGUGAUUUAAAGGUCUCAACCUACCGAGAGGCGUUAUUUAAAAAUGCAGAGCAUGGUUUUGUGCGUUUUAUGACUUUCAGGAGGGAUGUGGAUAACAGGCAUUUAUGGCACUGAAGUUUAGAGAAAGCCGUUUUUUCUUCCAAAAUAGUUCAAGGUUUAAUCCUCUCAUCUGACUCUCGUCAAGAAUACGAACGUGUAUUCCCUAAAUUGCUGAAUUUGAGGAACGCAGUAGAGUCCACAAGAGUCAAUUUGAAAUAAAAAAAGCCCUGCUUGCCCAACACUGUUAAACAGUAGGAAUUAGUAUCAAAUUAGCCUCGCAGAGCCCUGGACAGCUUGGUUCUCAGCAAACUGAUUUAAUAAUAUAAAACUGCUAAAUCAGAAAUCAAUAAUGAGAAAGCAGCUGUAAUUAAAGAGAUUCACAGAUGAUGGUCCAACGGGGAGAUGUGGGCAGUCAAUAAAAGAUGGUUGCCGAUAUUUGCUUUGUCUCAACACAAAUGGGGGAUUAUAACGUUUAACUGUGCCAGCAGUGGUCGCUAUGGAAACACGAUGUUCAAUUGAAACAAAAAAGCCACUUAAUCUUGUUAUAUUCUAUUGCACCUUCCAGAAAUUGGCUGUUCGUAUUAAGAAUGGUUCUCCCUCCUUCGCAG